RNAcentral lists this ribosomal RNA (899 nucleotides) under uncultured bacterium. RNAcentral's name for it is "bacterial SSU rRNA". It matches the Rfam family "Bacterial small subunit ribosomal RNA", at positions 8 to 921 of the family's 1533-position model. The record is from RNAcentral.
AGAGUUUGAUCCUGGCUCAGGACGAACGCUGGCGGCGUGCUUAACACAUGCAAGUCGAACGGUAAGGCCCCAGCUUGCUGGGGUACACGAGUGGCGAACGGGUGAGUAACACGUGGGUGACCUGCCCCGCACUUCGGGAUAAGCCUGGGAAACUGGGUCUAAUACCGGAUAGGACCGCACCGUGAGGGUGUGGUGGAAAGUUUUUCGGUGUGGGAUGGGCCCGCGGCCUAUCAGCUUGUUGGUGGGGUAAUGGCCUACCAAGGCGGCGACGGGUAGCCGGCCUGAGAGGGUGGACGGCCACAUUGGGACUGAGACACGGCCCAGACUCCUACGGGAGGCAGCAGUGGGGAAUAUUGCACAAUGGGCGGAAGCCUGAUGCAGCGACGCCGCGUGGGGGAUGACGGCCUUCGGGUUGUAAACUCCUUUCACCAUCGACGAAGGUUUUCUGACGGUAGAUGGAGAAGAAGCACCGGCUAACUACGUGCCAGCAGCCGCGGUAAUAUGUAGGGUGCGAGCGUUGUCCGGAAUUACUGGGCGUAAAGAGCUCGUAGGUGGUUUGUCGCGUCGUCUGUGAAAUUCCGGGGCUUAACUCCGGGCGUGCAGGCGAUACGGGCAUAACUUGAGUACUGUAGGGGAGACUGGAAUUCCUGGUGUAGCGGUGAAAUGCGCAGAUAUCAGGAGGAACACCGGUGGCGAAGGCGGGUCUCUGGGCAGUAACUGACGCUGAGGAGCGAAAGCAUGGGUAGCGAACAGGAUUAGAUACCCUGGUAGUCCAUGCCGUAAACGGUGGGCGCUAGGUGUAGGGGUCUUCCACGACUUCUGUGCCGUAGCUAACGCAUUAAGCGCCCCGCCUGGGGAGUACGGCCGCAAGGCUAAACUCAAGGGAAUUGACGGGGGCC